Molecule: ribosomal RNA, 497 nt
Filed under: uncultured bacterium
Lineage: Bacteria
Description: partial 16S ribosomal RNA
Rfam family: Bacterial small subunit ribosomal RNA
Source: RNAcentral
GAUGAACGCUGGCGGCGUGCCUAAUACAUGCAAGUCGAGCGAACAGACGAGGAGCUUGCUCCUCUGACGUUAGCGGCGGACGGGUGAGUAACACGUGGAUAACCUACCUAUAAGACUGGGAUAACUUCGGGAAACCGGAGCUAAUACCGGAUAAUAUAUUGAACCGCAUGGUUCAAUAGUGAAAGACGGUUUUGCUGUCACUGAUAGAUGGAUCCGCGCCGCAUUAGCUAGUUGGUAAGGUAACGGCUUACCAAGGCAACGAUGCGUAGCCGACCUGAGAGGCUGGUCGCCCACACUGGAGCUGGGCCACGGUCCAGACUCUUGCGGGAGGCCGCAGUAGGGAAUCUGCCGCAACGGGCGAAAGCCUGGCGGAGCAACGCCGCGCGAGUGAUGGAGGUCUUCGGAUCGUAAAACUCUGUUAUUAGGGAAGAACAAAUGUGUACGUAACUAUGCACGUCUUGACGGUACCUAAACAGAAAGCCCCGGCUAACUACGUG